Molecule: ribosomal RNA, 527 nt
Filed under: Bombus turkestanicus
Lineage: Eukaryota; Metazoa; Arthropoda; Insecta; Hymenoptera; Apidae
Description: partial 16S ribosomal RNA
Rfam family: Bacterial large subunit ribosomal RNA (bases 375-527)
Source: RNAcentral
GGCUUAUUGAAUUUAAUUUUAGGUCGAUCUGCCCAAUGAUAAUUAAUUAAAUGGCUGCGGUAUAACUGACUGUACGAAGGUAGCAUAAUAAAUUGUUUUUUAAUUGAAAUCUGGAAUGAAAGAAUUGAUGAAAUAUAUACUGUCUCGUAUAUAUAUAUUAUGAAUUUAAAAUUUCAGUAAAAAUGCUGAAAUAUUUUUAUGGGACGAUAAGACCCUAUAGAAUUUUAUAUUUAUAUAAAUUUGAAUAAAAUUUGUAUUAAUAUUUUGUUGGGAGGAUUAAUAAAUUUAAAUAACUUUAUUUUAAAUUUAAACUUUAAUUUAAGAAUAAUUAAUUUGAUCUUGUAUUAUAAAUUAAAAGAAAAAAUUACCUUAGGGAUAACAGCGUAAUAUCUUUUUUAAGAUCAAAUUAAUAAAGAUGAUUGCGACCUCGAUGUUGAAUUAAGAUAAAUUUUAAAUGUAGAAGUUUAAUAAUUAAGUCUGUUCGACUUUUAAAAUCUUACAUGAUUUGAGUUCAAAUCGACGUGAGU